Molecule: small RNA, 990 nt
Filed under: Cladophialophora immunda
Lineage: Eukaryota; Fungi; Ascomycota; Eurotiomycetes; Chaetothyriales; Herpotrichiellaceae
Description: eukaryotic LSU rRNA
Rfam family: Eukaryotic large subunit ribosomal RNA
Source: RNAcentral
UAACUGAGCACGUAUCGGAUCAAGGGCGCCCGGGGCACGGUCUUCUCCCCCCUUCGGGGAAAUUUUCUUAAGGUUGACCUCGGAUCAGGUAGGAAUACGCGCUGAACUUAAGCAUAUCAAUAAGCGCAGGAAAAGAAACCAACAGGGAUUGCCUCAGUAACGGCGAGUGAAGCGGCAACAGCUCAAAUUUGAAAUCUGGCCUCUCGGGGUCCGAGUUGUAAUUUGUAGAGGAUGUUUCGGGUACCGCCUCGGUUUAAAUUUCUUGGAACAGAAUGUCAAAGAGGGUGAGAAUCCCGUCUUGGACCGGCGGUAGGGCCUAUGUGAAACUCCUUCGACGAGUCGAGUUGUUUGGGAAUGCAGCUCAAAAUGGGUGGUAAAUUUCAUCUAAAGCUAAAUAUUGGCCAGAGACCGAUAGCGCACAAGUAGAGUGAUCGAAAGAUGAAAAGCACUUUGAAAAGAGAGUUAAACAGUAUGUGAAAUUGUUGAAAGGGAAGCGCUUGCAACCAGACUUGAGCGCGGCGGUUCCCCCUUGCUUCUGCUUGGGUUACUCCGCCGUGUCCAGGCCAACAUCGGUUCUGGGGGUCGGUCAAAGGCCUUGGGAAUGUAUCUACCCACGGGUAGACUUAUAGACCAGGGUGUCAUGCGACCUCCCGGGACCGAGGAACGCGCUUCGGCUCGGAUGUUGGCGUAAUGGUUGUCAGCGACCCGUCUUGAAACACGGACCAAGGAGUCUAACAUCUAUGCGAGUGUUUGGGUGUCAAACCCGGAACGCGGAAUGAAAGUGAACGGAGGUAGGAAGCUUCGGCUGCACUAUCGACCGAUCCUGAAGUUUACGGAUGGAUUUGAGUAAGAGCAUAGCUGUUGGGACCCGAAAGAUGGUGAACUAUGCCUGAAUAGGGUGAAGCCAGAGGAAACUCUGGUGGAGGCUCGCAGCGGUUCUGACGUGCAAAUCGAUCGUCAAAUUUAGGUAUAGGGGCGAAAGACUAAUCG